This is an RNA transcript of Piliocolobus tephrosceles (Ugandan red Colobus), 2601 nucleotides long. It is a transcript of the gene named protein O-mannosyl-transferase TMTC4 pseudogene, with no coding region annotated. NCBI's taxonomy places the organism in Eukaryota, Metazoa, Chordata, Mammalia, Primates, Cercopithecidae. The record is from RefSeq and is a predicted model, not a curated record. The transcript has a single exon.
AUGGGCAACAUACUGUUGUUCUUGUUGUCUUUCCUUGGCUACUGUAAAGCAUUUAGAGAAAGUAACAGGGAGGGAGCACAUUCUUCCACCUUCUGGGUGCUGCUGUCUUUCUGGGAGCAGUGGCCGUGCUGUGCAAAGAGCUAGGGAUCACCGUGCUGGGUUUGAACGCGGUAUUUGACAUCUUGGUGACAGGUGAAUUCAAUGUUCUGGAAAUUGUCCAGAAGGGACUACGUAAGACAAGUCAUUAGAGAACUUGGAGCUCAGGAACGGGGACCACCUCUUCAGAGUGACCCUUGCUCACCUCCCGAGGGGCUGGGAUGCUCCACAUGCCCUGGAGGAUCAUAGGCACGGCCCGCUGGCCUUCACCGAGGUGGACAACCCGGCAUCCUUUGCCGACAGCCUGCCGGUGAGGGCCAUAAACUACAAUUACUGCUAUUCAUUAAACGCCCAGCUGCGGCUGUGUCCCUGGCGACUGUGUUUUGAUGGGUCAAUGGGCUGCAUCCCCCUCAUCAAGUCCGUCAGCGACUGGAGGGUGAUUGCACCUGCUACAGAACCAGCACUCCGGUUCUGCCUCAUCGGCCUAACAUGCCACGCCCCGUGCUCUGAACAUGGCCACAAGAGAAGGAUCCUUACUCUGGGCCUGGGAUUGCUCGUUAUCCCGUUUCUCUCCGCAAGGAACCUGUUCUUAGCGAUGUGCUAAGGUGCUGAGGUGCGCAGCGGCCAGGGGCGGAGUGAGGAGCAGCUUUGCGGAAGGCCCAGUCUGUGUGUCCUCAGUGCUGAGGUUCCCCACAACACUGGCAACAACCUGGCUGAUAAAGGCAACCAGACAGCCGCCAUCAGAUGCCACUGGGGAGCUGUAAGAUGAAUUCCCAAGUAUGUUCAUGCCAUGAAUAAUCUUGGAAACAGCUUAAAAGAAAGGCACGAGCUACAGGAAGCUGAGGAGCUGCCUUCUUUGGCUGUUCAAAUACAGCCAGACUUUGCUGCUGCGUGGACGGAUCUAGGCAUCCUGCAGAACAGCCUGAAACGGUUGGAAGCCGCAGAGCGAAGUUACCGGAGGGCAAUUAAACACGGAAGGAACCGCCCAGAUUGUUGCUACAGCCUCGGGCUCUGUAUGCUGAUCUCAGUCGCCACGUGGAUGCCUUGAAUGCGUGGCCCGGAGCUGAAACCAGAGCGCAGCCUGGCCUGGAACAACAUUGAUUACACUGCUCGAAAAUACAGGUAAUGUAGCUCAAGCUGAAGCAGUUGGAAGAGAGGCACUGGAAUUAAUAGCUAAUGAUCCCUCUGUCAUGUUCUCGUUGGCAAACUGCUGGGGAAAUCCCAGAAAUACAAGGAAUCUGAAGCUCUGUUCCUCGAGGCAAUGAAAGCAAAUCCAGAGUCUGCAAGUUACCGUAGUAACGUGGCUCUGCCUUAUCACGCUGGGGACACCUAGACUUGGCCAAGAAACACUGUGAAAUCUCCUUGCAGCUUGACCCCACGGCAUCAGGAACUAAGAAGAAUUACGAUCUGCUAAGAAGAAAGCUAGAACAAAUGCAGAAGAAAGACGUCUGAUCCUUUUUCCUUCAUGUUUUGAGUUUGAGUGUGUGUGUGGCAUAUCAUUAAUAAUAUGUGGUUACAUUUAACCAUUUGAAAGUCUUAGACAUAUUAUUUUAUUGAUUUUUUCUAUGAAAACAAAGAUAUGCCAAAAGAUUAUAGCACUAGCAAUAUAUUCUUGAAUGCUUGAUAUGAUUUUUCAUUGAAAUUGUAUUUUUUCAGACAACUCAAAUGUAAUUCUAAAAUUCCAAAAUUGUCUUUUUUAAUUAAACAGAAAAAGAGAAAAAAUUAUCUUGAGCAACUUUUAGUAGAAUUGAACGUACAUUUGGGAUCUGAGCCUUGUCAGGUAUGGACCAGCCCUAUUAAACUUCAAUUAUGACCAAGAAAGGAUAGACUGACUCCUACACUUUGUAUAAACAUUGAACGUGUCUAUAUGUUAGCAUUUUUAUUUAAUGACAAAGCAAAUGAAGAUUCUUGUUUUUUUUAUCUCUCUUUUUUUUUUAAAACAACAUACUGUGAACUUCGCUUGUAAGGAAAUAUUUAUUUGUAUUUUUAUGUUUGGAAUAGGACAAAUAAUCGAAUGAGGAAUGGAAAUUUUAACAUGUAGCACAUCUAUUUGCUUUUCCCGAUAGGAAGAAAUGGAUUCUUGCAGUAGUUUUUGAAUGCUCUGACUUGUGCAAUUUCAAUACAUAGGAGGUUAUAUAAUGUAAUAUUUUACAUAAAUGAUUACUAUCAACAGAAAGUUCAAGCCAUGCUUUAGGCAAGGGCAGGCAGCCUCACAUCUUUAUUUUUGUUACAUCCAAGGUGAAGAGGGCAACACAUCUGUGUAAGUUGCUUUUUAGUGUUUUUAACUGAAAAGCCGUUUUCCAUUUUGCUUAAUGAAACUAUAGACAUUAUUCUAUCCAGAAAAUGCAAAAUUUUCUCUCCAAUGGAGCCACAUUCGAGGAAUUUGUGGUAUUUUUAAGAAUUGAGUUGUUCUGGCUGUUUUUUAUUUGAUCCAAACCGUGUUUUUGUUUUGUUCUUCUCUGUGCGCUGUUGACCUAAUGAUUUACACCAUCUCUGUAAUUUCUU